UGGGGAAUAUUGCGCAAUGGGGGGAACCCUGACGCAGCCAUGCCGCGUGAAUGAAGAAGGCCUUAGGGUUGUAAAGUUCUUUCGGUAUUGAGGAAGGUUGAUGUGUUAAUAGCACAUCAAAUUGACGUUAAAUACAGAAGAAGCACCGGCUAACUCCGUGCCAGCAGCCGCGGUAAUACGGAGGGUGCGAGCGUUAAUCGGAAUAACUGGGCGUAAAGGGCACGCAGGCGGUUAUUUAAGUGAGGUGUGAAAGCCCUGGGCUUAACCUAGGAAUUGCAUUUCAGACUGGGUAACUAGAGUACUUUAGGGAGGGGUAGAAUUCCACGUGUAGCGGUGAAAUGCGUAGAGAUGUGGAGGAAUACCGAAGGCGAAGGCAGCCCCUUGGGAAUGUACUGACGCUCAUGUGCGAAAGCGUGGGGAGCAAACAGGAUUAGAUACCCUGGUAGUCCACGCUGUAAACGCUAUCGAUUUGGGGGUUGGGGUUUAACUCUGGCGCCCGUAGCUAACGUGAUAAAUCGACCGCCUGGGGAGUACGGCCGCAAGGUU
This 546-nucleotide ribosomal RNA is filed under the name uncultured bacterium. RNAcentral describes it as "bacterial SSU rRNA". It matches the Rfam family "Bacterial small subunit ribosomal RNA", at positions 355 to 895 of the family's 1533-position model. The record is from RNAcentral.